RNAcentral lists this long non-coding RNA (1096 nucleotides) under Mus musculus (house mouse). RNAcentral describes it as "long non-coding RNA chr15:43170128-43171224". Lineage: Eukaryota; Metazoa; Chordata; Mammalia; Rodentia; Muridae. The record is from RNAcentral.
AGCAGUUUAACGCAGAUGGCACAGCUGCAGGAGACUUGGAGAGGAAGGUGAUUACAAUCAGUGAAUUAGCAACCUCUGCGGAGCACUGCCUUCUGACCCUGGAGAAAGGGCGUUGUGCGAGCUCUGCAGAAGGAAAGGCGCUCUAGAAGCAGCCGAGCGCAGGGCUUUCAAGGGGCGCUCUGAAGCCUUUCGCUCCCCGGAUGGGCUAUCCCAGCGCCCCAGCACCAGGUGUAGAUCGCCUACCGUGCGCUCGCGUCUCUCGGGCUGCACGGCGUGCCUAGGCGCGGCGCUCCAUGCCAGGCUCUGGAAGCGAGCCGGGCUGUUUGGUCAGCACGUGGGCUCGGAAAAAGUUUGCGGACACCCGCCGGGAGCUCUUGGCAGCUUUAGGAUUCCGCCGGCUGCAGAAGGGUCCGCGGACCCCGAGGGUCCUCGGGGCUGGCGGCGCCUAGCAAAAGCGCGCGGCCGGGCAAGCGCGACCGCAGGCGCUGAGAUGCUGGGUCUCCGCCUGCGAGAGCGAUUCCUAGUCGAGGGGCGCGUCCACUCUCUUCUUGGUGUCCGGGUCCAGUCGCUGCUCCCAGGGCUCUCUCCACCACCACUUCGCAGCUGAAGUUUCUCGCUGCCUGAGCUAAGGGAGACAGAACACUGCCCGGAGGCCGAAGGGAUGUAGCCAGCGCACUUUCCGAUGGAGAUGCAGACAAGCUAAGGCUCGGGAUGCUUCUAUAAGUAGGUGGUGCUGUGGUCCAAGACAUCUAAAGCCAGGCUGCCUCAGAGUUCCUGGGUCCUAAAGCCAGAAACGCUCGGGUUUCCCUGAGGUCCUAAAGAGUACUGACGGCAUGCAGAGAGCUUCGUGUAAGAAAAAUAAUGCUCACCCGGCUUUCCCAGAGGGAUGGUCUAAACUGAAGAGCACCUAGGGUGAGCGAUAUGGCCUGCCCUUGCUGUUCACACCCAAGGUGUCCUCUCGGGAACAAUGGAGUCGAUUCCCACCUCACCAAUUAGCCUUUCUCCAGAAGAAUUUGAUGGGGAACUGAAGGUACCUUCUACUUUCCUCCUGAGUGCCAGGAUGAGACUGCUGCUUCUGAAAAAACACUUCAGCCUU